RNAcentral lists this long non-coding RNA (344 nucleotides) under Androctonus crassicauda. Lineage: Eukaryota; Metazoa; Arthropoda; Arachnida; Scorpiones; Buthidae. The record is from RNAcentral.
GGGAUGUACGUGGGCGGAAUGGCCAAUGCACGUCAGAAAUUAUAUUUCUAGUAGGGUCAUCCAGGGCAAGAAGGCUAUUCCAUUAUGCUCAACUAAAUGUAAGCAGUUGCCCCCACUUCAUUCAUGUUUUACUAGUAUGCAAUGAUACAAAGCAGAAAGCGAAACCAUACUGGCUCGGACAUUGCAUGGGUUAACAAGGUCUGUAUCUGUGAGUUAGGCAGAGGCUCAUGUUCAGAAAGUUUACUACAGUCUCCUUUGGCCACUGGUGGCGAAAGCAGCACCAACCCAAGUCUGGCUACUGCAAUAUAUAUACCCACAGUAGGGAAUGGAUCACCACACCAGAG